AUACAAUAAAAAUGACAAAAAUAAUGAAAAUUAUCAAUACAACAAAAAUGAAUAAAGUCAAUAAAAAUUUACAAUACAAUAAAAAUCAUUAAAAUAAAUAGAAAUUGACAAUACAAUAAUGAAAAUUAACAGUACAAUAAAAAUGAAUAAAAUCAAUAAAAAUUAAUGAAAUAAUGAAAAUUAACAAUACAAUAAAAAUGAUUAAAAUAAAUAAAAAACAAUACAAUAAAAAUUAUUAAAAUCAAUAAAAAUUGACAUUACAAUAAAAAUUAAAUAAAUAAGUAAAAAUUAAGAAUACAAUAGAAAUUAAUAAAAGAGUGUUGGAAUUUACGUGACACGAACCGUCUCGAACUUGUAGAUGGAGGAAAUUAUAUCUCAAACCACGGCGUACUUGCUGAUUUGCACAGUAUAAAGUAUUAAGUAAAAAUGCGAAAAUUUUCAUCCGUCAAAGGCUUUCAACCCCUACAAUUAAAAGGAACCAAAUAAAUAAAAAUUAGCAAUACAAUAAAAAGAAAUAAAAUAUAAAUUAACAGUACAAUAAAAUGAAUAAAAUAAACAGAAAUUAACAAUAUAAUAAAAAUUAAUAAAAUAAAUUAAAAUUUAUUAUACAAUAAAAAUUAACUCAAUAAUGCUUUUCCUCAACAACAUCUCCAUGACUUAAACACAUUGUGGCCAGAACGUUCCACCUUUGUUAAUAUAUCAUAUUAGAUGAACAUUUUAUAAAAAUCACCAGAGGCCUCACUCACAAUUGGAAAACACUCUUUAAAUGUUGUUUUGAGAACGUUCCUACUUUGUAAUCAUUGAACAUAAUCUGUGUUCCUGACUACAUCUUUUGAAUGUUGACGCUAAAAGAAUCAUAUUAACUUUACAGGAACAUUUCUGGAAAUGAAAAUAUUUGUAAAACGUAGUUUAAACAUUAGACUAAAACAUGAUUAGAACCUGCAGCUAAUGUUAUCCAGAGUGGUGGGAACGUUCUCCUGUGGAGCUUCAGAACUUCACCCUUCACUAUGUUUCAUGUUUCAGAAUGGGAAGCGCCUUUAUAGAAGUGGCAGGAAGUGGAUUCAGGCUGAUCCUGGUUCUGGAGAGACCGGUUCCCUCCGGAGGGCAGCGGUGGUUUGCUGGAGGAGGCGGAGGCCAAGCCUCCAUCCAGCCGUCCGUGGAAAGGGGAUCUCUCUUUGAAUUGCCUUUCCCGAGGUUUCUUCCCAUCUUCCAUGGGGAGUUUUUUCUCGUCUUCAUAGAGAGCUUGGGCUGGAUCAAGACCUCCUCAGAAAUAAAACUUCAUUAUAAUAAAUAACACAUCAUGAUAGAUUAUUUCCGGAUUACAUUUAGAGUUACAUCCUGGUUAAUAAGUUGUUUACACAAAACCAAGUUGAGCUGCACAUUUUAGAGGACAUUGUACGUUUAUUAUAUAACGUAUUAAAGAGCUACUUUACAGAUUAAGAUUAAUAAUUCAAAAUAUAAGUUCUGGUGUAUUAUUAGAUGCAUUUUUUUCCCCUAGUGGAAAUUCACAAGAUGUAAAAUAAAUAUAAAUUAAAGCCAGCCUCGGCUUUACCAGCUGCAAAAUUAAAGUUAUCUACAUGCUAAUGCAUUUAAAAGGUAUAACCCCGUUAUAUAAAAUACACUUUUACAAGUUAAUUAAAUUAGUUAAAUGCAUGGUUGCAAGAUUACAAGCCCAAGGUACUGAUUUAGCUAAACCUUUUAAGUUGCAAACAUUUAUCUAUGUUUAUAUUGUUUUGACAUAAUAAUGUUUCACCAACUUAAUAUUGUGAAUAAUUUAAAAUUGGAUUUUUUGCUGGAGUUGAUUUAAAACUAAAUUCAAAUUGAAGUAACUUCAAUCUUCAGUCUGUUCAGACUUCCGUGGAGAGUGACUCCAACGAGUUUAGCCUAUUUUUGUCAGGCUUUGCCGUCUGGCAGAGUCGUAUCUAUUUGUUGAAAGCAGAGGAUCUGUGCUUGACGGGGGUUUGGGUGGUGCUCAGUGGAGCUUGUGGGCGGAGUCAGUGAGGACUUCACCAGGGGGUUGGGCCCGGGCAGCAAAAGGUCAGGGCUCAUCGCUUCUCGGCCUUUUGGCUAAGAUCAAAUGUAGGAUCUGUUCUUAUCAGUUUAAUAUCUGAUACGUCCUCCAAUGUGAGGACUAUAUAUUAAAUGGAUUUUUAGCACUGGGAGCUGAAAGAGGGGUUUGCUCCUUUCACUCCACGCAUCGACCUGGUACUGCAGUGCUGCCAGGAAUGGUGCAUCCUUCUCUGGCCUUGUAGAAUGGAAGUAAAACAAGCUAAUAACAACGCUCUGGCAGAUUGGGCAGUGACCACCAAAGCUGUCAAACAAAGCCAGCAGCACCAGCUGCUUCUGUGGCGUCGUCAUGCUUACGCAACUCAGUUUGAAGAGAGAGUGGUUUUCCUCUUGGCUGCGGACGGCAAAGGUCUUCAGUCACACUAUCCAAGUCAGAUCUUUCUGCACGGGUUUCAGCGAGUUGGAGAAAGAACAGAAGGGUCGAACGGUGAGCUUUCAGUCACACUAUGGUCUCACAAUGGGUGGAAGUGCAAAAGUAGCUGCUUGGUGGCUCGUGGCCGUUCCACCAUCAGCACUGAGAACACACACAGCCACACAAUUCUGGAAACACAAUGGUGAGACCGGUGAAAGUGAAAAAUGGCUCCUCAAAUGCAGCACAGUACAGGACAAGGCAGCCUGGUGUCACGUUGCGCACAACAAAGCAAGCAUCAUUCUUGCAAAUUCCUUGUCCGUACCCUAGCAGUGGUUGUUCCUUGAGGACAGCGUUGCUCACGGCAGUUAUCCUGUGUGAAAGCUACAUUUGAAACGUUCUUUCUUGACUCAGUUGAGUUCAGUGAAGUGGCCAGAAAAUGUGGCUAGACGUCCUGCGGACCUGUGGGUGGCCCGCUGUUGAGUAUCACUGGGCUCCCACAGUGUCAGGCUGAUUGGAUGAAGCUUCAGUGUGUUGUAUUGUAUGUCUUUAAGGAUGUUUUUAUUUGAGUCAUUUUGUGGUUUAUUUUAUUUUCCAUCUAUUUAUGUUGUUUAUUGUUUUAUUUAGUUAAUUUUGUUUCACUUAUUGGCUAUUUCUGUCUCAUUUAACAUCUCUGUAUUUCAUUUUGGCCUAUUCAUGUUUCAUUCUGCUAAUUUACCUCUUGAUUUUUUUGUCCAUUUUAAUAAUUUUGUGGCUCAUAUUUGGCCAUUUCGCACCUCUUAAUUACCUUUUUUGUUCUACUUUGUUACUUUUGUUGUAUAUUUUGUUUAUUUUAUAUCCCAUUUUGAUCAUUUUGUGUUUAAUUUUGGCCAUGUUGUUUCUCAGUUUGAUCCUUUUCUAUCUUUCCAUGUUGUUUUUAGUUCCAUUUUGGUCAUUUUGCAUGUGUUCAUGGAUUCUAAUUUUCCAUGUUGGACAUUUUACCCACUUCAGUCAUUUUAUAUGGUUUUAUGUGAUUGUUCUUGUCCCAUAUGGGUGAUUUUGUGCCUCCCUGUGUCUCCACACUUGUGGAAACAAAUCUCACAAACAAAUCAAGCACUUGUCCUGUAACUUUGUCCUGUGAGAGACCAUCAGCGACCCUUUAGAGGGCUGCAGUCAGUGAGGAGAGAAGAGGAAAGCUGCUGAUGCUGCUGAAGCUCCAACUAAAAAGAGGAGUCUUCAACUGGUGGAGGACAGAGUAGAGCUGUCAGAAGAGGAACAAAGAGCCCAAUUCGACAGCAAAUACGAGCAGCAGCAUCAGCUCAGAGAAGGAGGUUGUGGGUCCGUGUUCGCCGGCCGCCGCAAAUCAGACAGUUUGCUGGUAAGAUAUGAAGAAGCACUUGUAAUGUGGUUGUGUACAGCUUUUUACAAAACAUGAGAGGUUUGGUUCCUGUUUGAAGCUGAAAUGUUUCAUGUCAGAAAAUACUAAGCAAAAGCUAGUAAUUUCCUGGAACUGGGUUUUUCUUGGUUAUGAAAAUAAGAAUUAAGAAGAAAAAAUCAAGCUUACACG
Long non-coding RNA from Amphiprion ocellaris (clown anemonefish), 3962 nucleotides. RefSeq lists it as uncharacterized. The record is from RefSeq and is a predicted model, not a curated record. NCBI's taxonomy places the organism in Eukaryota, Metazoa, Chordata, Actinopteri, Pomacentridae. The transcript is spliced from 3 exons.